AACGAACGCUGGCGGCAUGCCUAACACAUGCAAGUCGAACGAGACCUUCGGGUCUAGUUGCGCACGGGUGCGUAACGCGUGGGAACCUGCCCUUAGGUUCGGAAUAACUCCCCGAAAGGGGUGCUAAUACCGGAUAAUGUCUUCGGACCAAAGAUUUAUCGCCUUUGGAUGGGCCCGCGUUGGAUUAGCUAGUUGGUAGGGUAAAAGCCUACCAAGGCGACGAUCCAUAGCUGGACUGAGAGGAUGAUCAGCCACACUGGGGCUGAGACACGGCCCAGACUCCUACGGGAGGAAGCAGUGGGGAAUAUUGGACAAUGGGCGAAAGCCUGAUCCAGCAAUGCCGCGUGAGUGAUGAAGGCCUUAGGGUUGUAAAGCUCUUUUACCCGGGAUGAUAAUGACAGUACCGGGAGAAUAAGCGCCGGCUAACUCCGUG
Molecule: ribosomal RNA, 433 nt
Filed under: uncultured bacterium
Lineage: Bacteria
Description: partial 16S ribosomal RNA
Rfam family: Bacterial small subunit ribosomal RNA
Source: RNAcentral